Molecule: ribosomal RNA, 4054 nt
Filed under: Shinkaiya lindsayi
Lineage: Eukaryota; Foraminifera; Syringamminidae
Description: partial small subunit ribosomal RNA
Rfam family: Eukaryotic small subunit ribosomal RNA (bases 2137-4054)
Source: RNAcentral
CUCAAAGAUUAAGCCAAGCAAGUGGCUAUGAUAACCCAACAGUUUAAAUAAGUGAUUAUUUAUUCGAAUUUUUUAAAGUUUUGUUUUACAAAGCGUUUAUUCAUUUAUGCAACUGCAAACAGCUGCUUAAUAUAGUUACACUUGUCUUGACUUGGCGUUCAUAUUUGUAUAAUUUUUUAUAUUGAUAUUAGAUAUUAAUUUGAUUUCUCUGUAACAUUUUUUAUUGUUAUAAUUUUAAAUUUUUAAAAGUUUUGGAUAACUCAGGGAAAGUUUGGCUAAUACGUACGAGAAUUAAUAUUUUUGAUAUUCAUAAUUAUGUUUUUUUGGUGUAUAUUUUUUUAAAGUAUAUUUUUGUGUUGUUAAAUAUUUUGAUUGUGAUAUUUUCUAUAUAAUACUGUGAUUAUUUUUUGUCUUUAAAUUUGUUUGAGGAGACAAAUUAAUUUGAUUAUUGAUAAAGAUUUAGGUAUUAAUGGUCGACACCUAGGAUUUUAUUAGUUUUAGCUGUCGAGCAUUUGUGAUAAUCUUUGUUUUUUAAUUUUUAAAGAUUCAAACAUUCAAAUAGUUUUAAGAAAUAAGAAAUAUGUAUUUCUAGAUUGUUGUAAAUAAUAUCGUGUGUAAUCAUAAAUAUAUGAAAUAUAAUUUAAUAUAAAAUAUAGUUUGAUCUGAAUUGAUAUUCGGAUUUUUUGUUGUUAAUAAUUGUGGAUUUUUUAUGUCUUCAGCACUUAUCGGUAAAUUUUUAUUGAAAUUUAAUAGCUACGUGAAAUGACGAUAAGUACGCGUGUAUUUAAUAUGUGUUUACAUAUAUUGAUUACAACAUUGCUGAGCAGACUUUGCGAAGUGAAAAUCUAAGCGAAGCAUGUCAUACAAGCAUCUAGAGCAUCAAGUCACCGGGUUGGCAAGUGUAUUUUUGAACCUUCAAAGCAAUAACGCAUACGGAAGAGUAGUUUCUGAUCCCAUAGAAGGAGCAAAGUCCAUUGAGAGAUCGCUCUUAGUUCUAAGGAACGCAGCAGGCGCGUAAUUUGCCCAAUGCUAGUACCCUAUUAUUAUUAGUAUUGUAUUGUAAUUUUUUUGUGAUAACGUAUAUGCAUAUGCGUUAUUACUAGUGUUAAUGAUUUUAUCCUUGUUUUCUAUGUCGAUGUAAUUAUAAUAUAAUUUUUUUAGUUAUUUACUGAGGCAGUGACAAGCUGUAAUGGUUGAGUAUAAAUAAGACAAACGUAUAAAUUCCAAUCUUGUUUUUAGCAAGUUAUUUAACUUUUGCGUUUUGUGUACUCAAUUAGAAUGCGGUGAGUUUAAACAACUCAGAACCUUUAAAUGGUAUUAGAGAUUAUCUUUAGCUAUUUAUGUAUCUGAAUUUCAAGUGGAGGGAAAGUCUGGUGCCAGCAGCCGCGGUAAUACCAGCUCCACUAGCCUAUACAAUUAUUGUUGCGGUUAAGAGGCUCGUAGUUGGAUUGAACAAAAUUUUAAUUUUACGGUAAACAAGAUUUAUGAUUUAUUUUAGUAAAUCAUUUUUUGUUAUAAUUGAGUUUGAUUGUAUUGUGGUUUGUCACUAAUCUUUAAAUUUGAUUAUUUAUGUUAUAUAUUUUAAAUCAUUUUUUGUUAUAAUUGAGUUUGAUUGUAUUGUGGUUUGUCACUAAUCUUUAAAUUUGAUUAUUUAUGUUAUAUAUUUCAACACUGUGAACAAAUCAGAGUGCAUCAAACAUGUNGUAAAAGUGCAAUGCAUGAAUUAUCAUGGAAUGUUGCAUGUUAUUAGAUGUUUUUUGGUGUUUUUUAAAUAUUAUGAGGAGUGGUACACUAGAAAGUAAGAUUGUCAAAUGUAAUUUUUUUAUUUUGUGUAUAUGAAUCUGUAAGUUUUUUUAUGUGAGUAAGGUUGUAUGAUAUGAUGUACGAUUUAUAUUUAAUUGUAAGGCUUUUUGCUUGCUAAACAGAAUUAUAUGGAGUAAUAUGUUUGCCGAAACCGUGAAAGUAAGCCAUAGCGUGAAGGUAAUCAUUGAAAUAUGAGUAUUCAUUUGAAAAUGAGCUUUAUUACUAUAUACAUUUUUUUNUGGAGUAAGGUUGUAUGAUAUGAUAUGAUAUGUGAUAAAUAUAAUGUAUGAUACGAUGUACAAUAAAUAUAAUCGUAAGGCUUUUUGCUUAAUAAACAGAAUUAUAUGGAGUAACAUGCUUGCCGAAACCGUGAACGUAAGCCAUAGCGUGAAGGCUUUAUUACUAUAAAUAUUUUUUUCUGGAGUAAUGUUGUAUUAUAUGAUCUGUGAUGAAUAUGAUUGCGUGGUUUUUGCUUGAUAAAAGAAUUGUGUACGAGUAAGGCUGUAUUAUAUUAUAUACAAUAAACAGAAUUGCUAAAAUAUUUUAAAAAUAUUNAAAAUAUCUAUGUCGAUGGGGAUAGUUGGAGUCAAGAGUACUGCUUGGCGAGAGGUGAAAUUCAUUGACCCUAGCAAGACUACCAAAAGCGAAAGCGCUUGACUAGGCUAUACUCUUUGUGUUGUUUUUGAUUUUAUAUAUUUUAUAUUUCAUCUAAAUUUCACUUUACAAUGAAGAACGAAGGUUGGGGGAUCAAAGAGGAUCAGAUACCCUCGUCGUCCCAUUUGUUACAUCAAACGAUGGGCUCUCAAUUGCAUAAGCAUUAAGUUGUUUUUGCCCUCAAUCUGCAAAAUAUUUGGUUUGAGCUUGUGUUAAGUUUAACACGCUCACUAUUUUUCGUAUGGUUUCGAAGGACAUUUCAUUUAUAUAAUUUCGUUGCGUGUAAGUAUUAUAAUAUUACUUGAAAUAUUAGUAAUAUGUGUCUACACAUGAUUGUUUGAGCUUUGCGCUCAUAUUAUUGGUGAGAUGUAAGCACUAGAUGAACGUUUGCUGAAUAUAAGCAGAAAGUUUUUUGUUUUUUGUUCUAGUAUAACUUUUGUCAUGUAUAAAGUGUGAAGCACGCGUUAGGCACGCGCUUACUGCAGAAAUGUCUGAGACAUUCCCCUCCGGGGGUAGUAUGCACGCAAUUCGCCCUUACUUGAAGGAAUUGACGGAAGGGCACCACAAGAACGCGUGGAGCAUGUGGCUUAAUUUGACUCAACGCGGGAAAUCUUACCGGGUCCGGAUAUACUGAAGAUUGACAGGAAAUAAUGAUUAGUUUUUAAACUCUUACAUUUAAUUUGCUGGUCCUUUCAUAAUAGUAUGAUAGGUGGUGCAUGGCCGUUCUUAGUUCGUGGAGUGAUCUGUCUGCUUAAUUGCGUUUCGUGUAGGACUUAAUACUCAACAGUGUGCUACUUUACAAUACCCUUGGUUGUUGUGAAAUUUAUCUGUAGUGAGGGUUUUCGCAUAUUGAUAUAUUUUUUGAGUAAGUACAUCUUAAGCCCUGAACGCAACGAACGUGACCGCAACCCUUUGUAACUACCUUUUGGAAAAUUGCGCCUGGAUUUUUUUCAGGUUUUUGUGAUUAGCUAACUUAGGGGACUGCUGCGAUUUCUUUUAAACCAGAGGAAGGAUGCGGCAAUAACAGGUCUGUGAUGCCCUCAGAUGUUCCGGGCUGCACACGUGCUACAAUGAUUAUUGCAGUGAGCACCUCAUUUAAUAAAACUGAUCAUAAGAUCGAAAGAUUUUUUAUUGGUCAGAAUGGGCCUGCCUCGAAAGAGUGUAGGUAAUCAAUACGAAGUAAUGAUUUCUCUGAUUACAAAUUUUAUUUGUUUUUGAUAGCACACAAUAUGCUAACGCUAUAUCUCUGAAUAUUAGUAAAAAUAUUUUUUGUUGACUUUUUUGUUUAAAGUGGCAAAUUUAUAUUUUUGAAAUUUGGUGUGUUAUAGUUUUUUAGUAUGUGCUUUUUGUCAACUCUUGGUGGGGACAGACCAUUGUAAAUUGUUGGUCUCGUCUUAACUAGGAAUGCCUUGUACGGGUUUUGGUUUAACAUACCACCCGGAAUACGUCCCUGCCCUUUGUACACACCGCCCGUCGCUCUUACCGAUGGACUUCUCUGUGAGUUUAAGGGACUAAUAUGAUUUCAUUAUAGAAACUUAAACGAACAGUGCGGUCUAAAGGAAAGAGAAGUCGUAACAAGGCAUCGGUAGGUGAACCU